RNAcentral lists this ribosomal RNA (496 nucleotides) under uncultured bacterium. RNAcentral's name for it is "partial 16S ribosomal RNA". It matches the Rfam family "Bacterial small subunit ribosomal RNA", at positions 28 to 507 of the family's 1533-position model. The record is from RNAcentral.
GAUGAACGCUGGCGGCGUGCCUAAUACAUGCAAGUCGAGCGAACAGACGAGGAGCUUGCUCCUCUGACGUUAGCGGCGGACGGGUGAGUAACACGUGGAUAACCUACCUAUAAGACUGGGAUAACUUCGGGAAACCGGAGCUAAUACCGGAUAAUAUAUUGAACCGCAUGGUUCAAUAGUGAAAGACGGUUUUGCUGUCACUUAUAGAUGGAUCCGCGCCGCAUUAGCUAGUUGGUAAGGUAACGGCUUACCAAGGCAACGAUGCGUAGCCGACCUGAGAGGGUGAUCGCCACACUGGAACUGAGACACGGUCCAGACUCCUACGGGAGGCAGCAGUAGGGAAUCUUCCGCAAUGGGCGAAAGCCUGACGGAGCAACGCCGCGUGAGUGAUGAAGGUCUUCGGAUCGUAAAACUCUGUUAUUAGGGAAGAACAAAUGUGUAAGUAACUAUGCACGUCUUGACGGUACCUAAUCAGAAAGCCACGGCUAACUACGUG